AAAAAAAAAAAAAAAUUUCCCCUCCCUCAUCAACAAAAGCCCACCCUCUAAGAGACAUUCAAGCUGAACUAUCACAAUUCUUAAUCAGUUACAAUUUACAAACAGAUAAGUUUAAAAUAAACAAUUUACAAAAUUUUUGAAGCAUACCUUAACAUCUUGUUUUGCAGUUAAACAAUGGAAAAGUAUUUCUCCUACACUAAAAAAAAACUUGCUUACACACAACUGAAAAUAGAAUCUUACUUGAUAAUACAAAAGCUACCAUCAGAAGAAAUCCCUUCAGGAUCAUUAAGCCACUUCCUUUGCUCUGCAGUUUCUAUAGUAGUUUUAAAUUAUUAUUAAAUCAC
This 344-nucleotide long non-coding RNA is filed under the name Homo sapiens (human). RNAcentral's name for it is "non-protein coding lnc-LTBP3-2:1". Lineage: Eukaryota; Metazoa; Chordata; Mammalia; Primates; Hominidae. The record is from RNAcentral.